Molecule: ribosomal RNA, 497 nt
Filed under: uncultured bacterium
Lineage: Bacteria
Description: partial 16S ribosomal RNA
Rfam family: Bacterial small subunit ribosomal RNA
Source: RNAcentral
GAUGAACGCUGGCGGCGUGCCUAAUACAUGCAAGUCGAGCGAACAGACGAGGAGCUUUCUCCUCUGACGUUAGCGGCGGACGGGUGAUUAACACGUGGAUAACCUACCUAUAAGACUGGGAUAACUUCGGGAAACCGGAGCUAAUACCGGAUAAUAUAUUGAACCGCAUGGUUCAAUAGUGAAAGACGGUUUUGCUGUCACUUAUAGAUGGAUCCGCGCCGCAUUAGCUAGUUGGUAAGGUAACGGCUUACCAAGGCAACGAUGCGUAGCCGACCUGAGAGGGUGAUCGGCCACACUGGAACUGAGACACGGUCCAGACUCCUACGGGAGGCAGCAGUAGGGAAUCUUCCGCAAUGGGCGAAAGCCUGACGGAGCAACGCCGCGUGAGUGAUGAAGGUCUUCGGAUCGUAAAACUCUGUUAUUAGGGAAGAACAAAUGUGUAAGUAACUAUGCACGUCUUGACGGUACCUAAUCAGAAAGCCACGGCUAACUACGUG